GAUGAAGAACGUAGCGAGAUGCGAUACUUGGUGUGAAUUGCAGAAUCCCGUGAACCAUCGAGUCUUUGAACGCAAGUUGCGCCCGAAGCCAUUAGGCCGAGGGCACGCCUGCCUGGGCGUCACACGUCGUUGCCCCCCCCAUCUACUCCUUCGGGAUUGCGGGGGGCGGAUGAUGGCCUCCCGUGCGCCUCGCCGCGCGGUUGGCAUAAAUGCCAAGUCCUCGGCGACGCACGCCACGACAAUCGGUGGUUGCGAAACCUCGGUUGCCCGUCGUGUGCGGUCGUCGCGCAUCGAGGGCUCGAAAAAAUUGCCGGGUUCCGGCUCGGCUUUCAACGCGACCCCAGGUCAGGCGGGGUUACCCGCUGAAUUUAAGCAUAUCAAUAAGCGGAGGA
Molecule: unclassified non-coding RNA, 392 nt
Filed under: soil metagenome
Description: partial contains 5.8S ribosomal RNA, internal transcribed spacer 2, and large subunit ribosomal RNA
Rfam family: 5.8S ribosomal RNA (bases 1-122)
Source: RNAcentral